RNAcentral lists this transfer RNA (77 nucleotides) under Gemmiger sp. Its description in RNAcentral is "tRNA-Val". It matches the Rfam family "tRNA". Rfam says of the family: Transfer RNA (tRNA) molecules are approximately 80 nucleotides in length. Their secondary structure includes four short double-helical elements and three loops (D, anti-codon, and T loops). Lineage: Bacteria; Bacillati; Bacillota; Clostridia; Eubacteriales; Oscillospiraceae. The record is from RNAcentral. RNAcentral also lists the same sequence under 1 other name.
GGAAGAUUAGCUCAGCUGGUUAGAGCGCUGCGUUCACAUCGCAGAGGUCUAGGGUUCGAGUCCCCAAUCUUCCACCA